AAGCCAGACUCCUACGGGAGGCAGCAGUGGGGAAUAUUGCACAAUGGGGGAAACCCUGAUGCAGCGACGCCGCGUGAAGGAAGAAGUAUUUCGGUAUGUAAACUUCUAUCAGCAGGGAAGAAAAUGACGGUACCUGACUAAGAAGCCCCGGCUAACUACGUGCCAGCAGCCGCGGUAAUACGUAGGGGGCAAGCGUUAUCCGGAUUUACUGGGUGUAAAGGGAGCGUAGGCGGCGAUGCAAGUCAGAAGUGAAAGCCCGGGGCUCAACUCCGGGACUGCUUUUGAAACUGUGUUGCUAGAUUGCAGGAGAGGUAAGUGGAAUUCCUAGUGUAGCGGUGAAAUGCGUAGAUAUUAGGAGGAACACCAGUGGCGAAGGCGGCUUACUGGACUGUAAAUGACGCUGAGGCUCGAAAGCGUGGGGAGCAAACAGGAUUAGAUACCCUAGUA
This 447-nucleotide ribosomal RNA is filed under the name uncultured bacterium. Its description in RNAcentral is "bacterial SSU rRNA". It matches the Rfam family "Bacterial small subunit ribosomal RNA", at positions 328 to 792 of the family's 1533-position model. The record is from RNAcentral.